GACCAUAUCUUACAUCACUGUCUUGAGGGGGCAGCAAGUGGAGCAGAGUCUGGACAAACUUCAGCUCUUGUGUGUCACUGCUGGAUAAGAUCAAGAUACUCUUCCAAUGCACAGCCUGAAUCAUUGUCAGAAGAUGCUGUGUGCGCUGAUGAAGUAGCGCCCUGGGCUGGACUAUCUGGUGCCAUUGGAGAAUACAGAAGGGCAUCCACUGAAAGGGACGGCUGCAAAGCAGACAGACAGAGAUUGACAGUGGACGACAAGACUCAAUGAUCUGCCACAACUGCUCUAGAAGGCUUUCAAACAGAGAUUAAUAACUUUAAUCUGCAAAUCUGUAACAUGACCUUCCUUACAACCUACAUUAGUCAGCAUACUGUAGAUAAUCAUAUCUUUACUUAAAAGCUUUCCAUUCUUAAAAAUGUGAUCAUUCAAUUGUAAAUUCCAUGGGAUAGUAGUUAUAUAACAGGAUUAUGGUGGUUUAGGAAGAAGCCACAGAGAAAUGUAAUUUAAUGUACAAACAAAAACUAUGUAGAACAGAAUUUUACCCAAUCAAAUUAUGUUUCUGUAAUUUCUCACAAUUAAUUACACUUUCAUGCAUUAUAUUUCCCUUAACAUAAUACAGUGUUUGAUAAAGAUGCAAUAAACAUAAGUGUUUAUGUUUCA
Molecule: long non-coding RNA, 660 nt
Organism: Pseudophryne corroboree (corroboree frog)
Lineage: Eukaryota; Metazoa; Chordata; Amphibia; Anura; Myobatrachidae
Exons: 2
Source: RefSeq, a predicted model, not a curated record